Long non-coding RNA from Epinephelus moara (kelp grouper), 695 nucleotides. RefSeq lists it as uncharacterized. NCBI's taxonomy places the organism in Eukaryota, Metazoa, Chordata, Actinopteri, Perciformes, Serranidae. The record is from RefSeq and is a predicted model, not a curated record. The transcript has 2 exons.
AAGAUAUGAGGCGGUCUUUGUGGAAAAAGCUUGUUUAGUUGACUAACUUUGUACUUGAAGAGUUAGCCUUGGACCAAGACGUUCAUUGCCUCUUACUACCAAUGUGCAAUACACCUCCCAACCGCUAUAGUGGCGCAGUAGAAAGCCGGUGCACUCAUUCAUUGCAGGACGAAGAAGGGGUGAAGAAAAUUUCAGACAUCCGAGAUAAAAUGCAUGUUUAUUGAACAAUAACGGAUAUACAAACACACGGCAACGCCCCCGUACACCUUCCUAACAUCUGUGCCUAUGAGCAAUGGCGCUACAACUGCGAAAGCCGGAAGUUGGGCAUCUGGUUAAUACUUUUAACGGAAGUAGACAGAGCGCAACGAGUCACACCAUAUGACCAUGCCCAACGGAGGGACACUGGUGACUUGUAGGCGCCAUCAUUAAAAUCUAUGGCUAGAAAAGGCAACCAGGGGCUGAACCCAAAACGUUAACAAACAGGCUAGCUAGUGAAAAACAUUAGACUUCAGCGUGAGAGUAUCCUUGUUCUCCUGUGCAUGACGUCAGAGCAAAGGUUGGGAUGAUGUCGGGACACAAAUGUAACCUUUACUUAGUAGUCAGUUUCAGUCUGUCACUUGCGUUUUGACAAUUCUGCUUUCUAUGAUGCCUGAGUUUGUAUUAUUCACUGUUUUCAAUAAAGUUGAAUUGAAAGG